Molecule: RNA transcript, 1443 nt
Organism: Varroa destructor (honeybee mite)
Lineage: Eukaryota; Metazoa; Arthropoda; Arachnida; Mesostigmata; Varroidae
Source: RefSeq, a predicted model, not a curated record
AGUUAAAAGACGGUUAAAAACUUACAAGGUCCAUUCUAUGCCCGUCAUAAUAGAACAACAAUAAAUAUCGUUAUUAUGACUAUUGUGCCUACGACAGUGCUGCCACCUGUACACGUCUGCUGGCACUAAAUCAUGUUGACAUUUAUGUUGAUCGGACCGAUUUUUUCAAACCUUUCGCUACUAAUAUAUCUACACGCUAUGGACCGACAGAGUCAAGGCAGUACAGUAGAAUGUAUCUAAUAACGAACUCGCUAAUAAUGUUCCCUCAUCGAAAUCCGUCGAGAUCAGAUACGAUGGAUGACCUCGAGCGUUACACGUACGAUAGCGAAAAACGGUUUCUAUUCUACUGGCCAUGAAGGGGGAGGAGCGUUUGAACUUCCCUUUAGAUAGUAGUACAGCCAAGGGGCAAGAUUCGAUGUGUCAAAUGAAGAGGUCUAACAAAAAAAAGUCCACGAAACGUCAACAUUGAUGCAUUGCCGGCAACACUGCAGCGAUGAAAAAAUCACGGGCAUGAUGUUUACGAUAUGGUAAUUGCUAGAAAUCGACGAAGACCUCGAGUGACCUAAAAUGUAGUACCUUGACGAGAGCACUUAUCAUAAAUUAAUAACUCCAUAUAUUAUAAAGAAAAAUAAUGGCUUUCGGCUAUUCUACGUGUAAAAAUUGAAAUAAAUAUCUUCAUUUAGGUCCAGUAGCUUUCGGGUAGGGUUUGGCUGUGCUAGCUCAUUCACUAGUUCAAUGUCAAGUGCUGAAAUUUAACUUUUCUCGCAAAUAAAUAGAUUUUAUUUUGUUUCGCUGUAUUGGAUCUAUGCUGAACUAUGCGCUAACUUUUCAUUGACAAUCUCCCUUGCGCAAUAGGCUUUCAAGCUUCUUGCAGCUUAUACAUCGUGACAUUGUUCUACGAUUGGCAGAAAGUGAAUGAGUGACGCGACCAUCAGUCGAACGAUUUCCAUAAAAUGCAUAGAGGACCAUACGUAAGAGAGCAGAUGGGCCGAUCGUUGCGUCCCAAUUCGAUCAACAAACCACGCGUGAUUUUCAAAAUUCCGACAAUUUUUCAUGAUAAAAUAAAGCAUCUUGAUUUGAAGAAGAAGCACUGAGGUACAAUUCUACUAGUGUAGUUCUGAAAUUGAGAUGACUUCAGAAACACGCAUGUAUGUGAAUUCGAAUUGUGUUUGACAUCAUUGCUUUCUCUGCUUCGAAACUAAAUGAAAAUUAAGGGUGAGAUCAUUAUACAAUAUAAAUGUGUACUUUACUUUUCAACAGUAGAGCUUUUUUUAGUAGCACACGUAGCAAUAGUAAAGAAGUAUCUAGCCGUAAAAUGAUGUUUUAGUCUGCGCGUUGAAAAACCUUCUCAGACUAUCGAACCACUUAGCGUUUUUUUGUUUUUAAAUUUUUUAUUAUUAAAAAAUUAUAUACCUAAACAUGUGACUUGGAGAAGGUUGAUAC